CUUGAGCCAAAUUGAUUACCCUACUCCAUCUGCAUCAGGCUGGCCGCCUCCUGUGCGCGCCACGUCGUGCCUACAGCCCAGAGACGGCAUUCUAGAUGUUUCCAAUUUCCAGGCCAUUCCCCAAUUUUCAACUCCAAUGAAAGACAACACAUGCUGAAAUGGCUGUUUAAGUAAAGUAAGGAAUUGGUCUCUUUGGGCUAGGCAGCAAAGCCUUCUCCCCCAACACUAUGCCAAAGGAUGGGACGACCAGGUUGCUUGCCGCCGAGCUCUCCAGAGUAAAUUGGCUGAUUGACAAUGUGGUUCAUCUCACAUUUUGUGACUGAACUAAUCCAGUAAAUUCCUACCAGACGCUACACAACUCAGCAG
This is a long non-coding RNA of Esox lucius (northern pike), 366 nucleotides long. RefSeq lists it as uncharacterized. The record is from RefSeq and is a predicted model, not a curated record. NCBI's taxonomy places the organism in Eukaryota, Metazoa, Chordata, Actinopteri, Esociformes, Esocidae. The transcript is spliced from 4 exons.